UACGUAGGGGGCAAGCGUUGUCCGGAAUCAUUGGGCGUAAAGAGCGCGUAGGCGGUCCGGUAAGUCCGCUCUGAAAGCCCGGGGCUCAACCCCGGGAGGCGGGCGGAUACUGUCGGGCUAGAGUCCGGAAGAGGCGAGUGGAAUUCCUGGUGUAGCGGUGAAAUGCGCAGAUAUCAGGAAGAACACCCGUGGCUAAGGCGGCUCUCUAGUACGGUACUGACGCUGAGACGCGAAAGCGUGGGGAGCGAACAGG
Molecule: ribosomal RNA, 253 nt
Filed under: uncultured bacterium
Lineage: Bacteria
Description: partial 16S ribosomal RNA
Rfam family: Bacterial small subunit ribosomal RNA
Source: RNAcentral